Molecule: ribosomal RNA, 342 nt
Filed under: Olea europaea subsp. europaea
Lineage: Eukaryota; Viridiplantae; Streptophyta; Magnoliopsida; Lamiales; Oleaceae
Description: LSU_rRNA_bacteria
Source: RNAcentral
UAGAUUCCCAACACUUUCCCUAGUACUAGAGGAUCGUGAAGGACACAUCUCUAGUGUACUAGUUAUCGUGCCCAUGAUAAACGUUGGGUAGUCAAGUGGAAGUGUAGUGAUGUAUCUAAGUAGUAAGCCCACCCUAAGAUGAGUGCUCUCAUAUUUUGACUUCCCCAGAGCUUUCAGUAACACAACAGAGAUAGUAAUAGGUUUUCUACCCAUAGGAGGAUCAAGCGAUAAAAGUUUUGAGAAUUUAAGAGAAGGUCACGACGAGACGAGCCUUUUAUCAUUACGAUCGGUGUCAAGUGGAAGUGUAGUGAUGUAUGUAGUUGAGGCAUCCUAAUAGACUGG